This is a long non-coding RNA of Etheostoma cragini (Arkansas darter), 545 nucleotides long. RefSeq lists it as uncharacterized. The record is from RefSeq and is a predicted model, not a curated record. Lineage: Eukaryota; Metazoa; Chordata; Actinopteri; Perciformes; Percidae. The transcript is spliced from 4 exons.
CUGCUCAAUAUUACCCAAUGACUACAUGAAUGCCAUCCUGCGUGUAUAAAAUGAGUGCCAGGGACCGGUAGGUACACAUCUGUCCAUCACCUGAUCCUGUCUGUCUGCUCCGAUCCAGAGAAGUCUUCGGUCUUUGUUUUCAGUCCGCGGAAAGGAUGAAGUGUAUUGCGGUCUUCCUCGUGUUGUCCAUGGUCCUCCUCAUGGCUGAACCUGGAGAGUGUUUCUGGGAAUGGCUUGCCGGCCAUGUGAUCAAUGGGAUCACGAAAGGAAAGGUGAAGGACCAGCAGGAGCUGCUAAUCCAGCUGGACAAACGUUCAGCUGACUACAACCCUGGCCCCCCCCCACCCCCGGGGCCCCCGAGUUUUCACUAGACUGAAGCCCCCCUGAAGAUAUGAUGAUGAUGAUGAUGAUGAUGAAAACACAUUCUGCUUCUUGCUCUUUCUUAUGCUGUAAGAAAAGAAAGGUUCAACUGCAGCACUCUUUAGUUCAUUUGGUAGAAUGUGAGUCCUUCUGAAUAAAUCUGCAUUAAAAAAACAUAACAUAUU